This 281-nucleotide ribosomal RNA is filed under the name uncultured Cenococcum. Its description in RNAcentral is "partial 28S ribosomal RNA". It matches the Rfam family "Eukaryotic large subunit ribosomal RNA", at positions 1 to 289 of the family's 3401-position model. Lineage: Eukaryota; Fungi; Ascomycota; Dothideomycetes; Gloniales; Gloniaceae. The record is from RNAcentral.
UUGACCUCGGAUCAGGCAGGGAUACCCGCUGAACUUAAGCAUAUCAAUAAGCGGAGGAAAAGAAACCAACAGGGAUUGCCUCAGUAACGGCGAGUGAAGCGGCAACAGCUCAAAUUUGAAAUCUGGCUCUUUUAGGGUCCGAGUUGUAAUUUGUAGAGGAUGCUUCGGCGUCGGCUCCGGUCUAAGUUCCUUGGAACAGGACGUCAUAGAGGGUAGAAUCCGUAUGUGAUCGGUGCCUGCCAUGUGAGUCCUUCGACGAGUCGAUUGUUGGAUGCAGCUCU